RNAcentral lists this ribosomal RNA (515 nucleotides) under uncultured bacterium. RNAcentral describes it as "partial 16S ribosomal RNA". It matches the Rfam family "Bacterial small subunit ribosomal RNA", at positions 28 to 523 of the family's 1533-position model. The record is from RNAcentral.
GAUGUACGCUGGCGGCGUGCCUAAUACAUGCAAGUCGAGCGAAUGGAUUAAGAGCUUGCUCUUAUGAAGUUAGCGGCGGACGGGUGAGUAACACGUGGGUAACCUGCCCAUAAGACUGGGAUAACUCCGGGAAACCGGGGCUAAUACCGGAUAACAUUUUGAACCGCAUAGUUCGAAAUUGAAAGGCGGCUUCGGCUGUCACUUAUGGAUGGACCCGCGUCGCAUUAGCUAGUUGGUGAGGUAACGGCUCACCAAGGCAACGAUGCGUAGCCGACCUGAGAGGGGGAUCGGCCACACUGGGACUGAGACACGGCCCAGACUCCUACGGGAGGCAGCAGUAGGGAAUCUUCCGCAAUGGACGAAAGUCUGACGGAGCAACGCCGCGUGAGUGAUGAAGGCUUUCGGGUCGUAAAACUCUGUUGUUAGGGAAGAACAAGUGCUAGCUGAAUAAGCUGGCACCUUGACGGUACCUAACCAGAAAGCCACGGCUAACUACGUGCCAGCCGCCGCCGUAA